AAUAGAUACCCUGGUAGUCCACGCCGUAAACGAUGAGUGCUAGGUGUUAGGGGGUUUCCGCCCCUUAGUGCUGAAGUUAACGCAUUAAGCACUCCGCCUGGGGAGUACGGCCGCAAGGCUGAAACUCAAAAGAAUUGACGGGGGCCCGCACAAGCGGUGGAGCAUGUGGUUUAAUUCGAAGCAACGCGAAGAACCUUACCAGGUCUUGACAUCCGCUGACAAUCUUGGAGACAAGACGUUCCCUUCGGGGACAGCGUGACAGGUGGUGCAUGGUUGUCGUCAGCUCGUGUCGUGAGAUGUUGGGUUAAGUCCCGCAACGAGCGCAACCCUUGAUUCUAGUUGCCAGCAUUCAGUUGGGCACUCUAGAGUGACUGCCGGUGACAAACCGGAGGAAGGUGGGGAUGACGUCAAAUCAUCAUGCCCCUUAUGACCUGGGCUACACACGUGCUACAAUGGAUGGUACAAAGGGCAGCAAAGUCGCGAGGCUAAGCAAAUCCCAUAAAACCAUUCUCAGUUCGGAUUGCAGG
RNAcentral lists this ribosomal RNA (527 nucleotides) under uncultured bacterium. RNAcentral's name for it is "bacterial SSU rRNA". It matches the Rfam family "Bacterial small subunit ribosomal RNA", at positions 777 to 1304 of the family's 1533-position model. The record is from RNAcentral.